UACAGAGGGGGCAAGCGUUAUUCGGAAUCACUGGGCGUAAAGAGUUCGUAGGCGGUUUGUUAAGUCGAAUGUGAAAGCCCUGGGCUCAAUCCAGGAAGUGCAUUCGAUACUGGCAAGCUAGAGUGCAGGAGAGGAAGGCGGAAUUCCAGGUGUAGAGGUGAAAUUCGUAGAUAUCUGGAGGAACAACAGAGGCGAAGGCGGCCUUCUGGACUGUCACUGACGCUGAGGAACGAAAGCGUGGGGAGCAAACAGG
Molecule: ribosomal RNA, 253 nt
Filed under: uncultured bacterium
Lineage: Bacteria
Description: partial 16S ribosomal RNA
Rfam family: Bacterial small subunit ribosomal RNA
Source: RNAcentral